GGCCAUAUCACCUUGAAACAUUGGUUUUCGUACGAUCAUCAAAGUUAAGCAACGACGAAUCUAUUCAGUACCUAGAUGGGUGACCACAUGGGAAUACCAGAUGCUGUAAG
Molecule: non-coding RNA, 110 nt
Organism: Acanthosepion pharaonis
Lineage: Eukaryota; Metazoa; Mollusca; Cephalopoda; Sepiida; Sepiidae
Source: the annotation of a GenBank genome assembly